CCCAACGUGGAGUAAAAAGAUGGAAAAAACUCUCCCCUCUCCGGCGCUGACCUGAAACUAUAAACCAAAAGGGUGUUUCCCUAUUUAAUAUAUGCAAAGAAGGCGUUCUGCUCUUCGACCAAUUAGAACUCCCUCAGGCCCCUAAAGAAAGUUGGGACUUCCUGAUUUAUAGCAAAGGUGUCUGUUUUUUUUAUCUAAGCAAAAGGCGAACUACCCCGUGGUCAUCUCUGCCUGAUACGGAAGAUCUCUGGCGCCAAGAAGUCUCUGACCCCUUUCGGGCUGUAAAUUUUAUUGCUCUGUGUGUGGGGGAGGCAAAAGGGCCCUGCUUUGUUUGAAUGUCUGCUAUUGUGAGCUCCCUCAUGCUCCACAGAAAACUGUUCCAAUAAAGUGUUGACUUUCCCUUUACACAUGUCAUAAGAUUAAGUGUAUUUUUAGCAUUAAAUAAUCAUUUUCCUUAGCACCUGCUACACGUCAACA
Molecule: long non-coding RNA, 477 nt
Organism: Xiphophorus hellerii (green swordtail)
Lineage: Eukaryota; Metazoa; Chordata; Actinopteri; Cyprinodontiformes; Poeciliidae
Exons: 3
Source: RefSeq, a predicted model, not a curated record